Molecule: ribosomal RNA, 59 nt
Filed under: uncultured bacterium
Lineage: Bacteria
Description: partial 16S ribosomal RNA
Source: RNAcentral
UACCCUUGACAUUGACAGAACCUCGUAGAGAUACUUGGGUGCCUUCGGGCCUGGAAAAC